Molecule: non-coding RNA, 80 nt
Organism: Steinernema glaseri
Lineage: Eukaryota; Metazoa; Nematoda; Chromadorea; Rhabditida; Steinernematidae
Source: Rfam
GCCCGGUUAGCUCACUUGUCAGUCGGUAGAGCACCAGACUCUUAAUCUGGCUGUCGCGGGUUCGAGCCCCGCAUCGGGCU